GGGUGAGGCCGAAGUAACCGCAUAUUGCCAGUCGUCCCCUGUGAAUCGGUGACCACAUAUGAAGAUGCACCUCGACUCGUUGACGGCUUAGCCACUGCAUCAAAGUCUUCCCUGGACAGCCUGGUACAGGAAAUCUUCCAAGGCAUCGGGAACAGCUGGGUGAGGCCGAAGUAACCGCAUAUUGCCAGUCGUCCCCUGUGAAUCGGUGACCACAUAUGAAGAUGCACCUCGACUCGUUGACGGCUUAGCCACUGCAUCAAAGUCUUCCCUGGACAGCCUGGUACAGGAAAUCUUCCAAGGCAUCGGGAACAGCUGGGUGAGGCCGAAGUAACCGCAUAUUGCCAGUCGUCCCCUGUGAAUCGGUGACCACAUAUGAAGAUGCACCUCGACUCGUUGACGGCUUAGCCACUGCAUCAAAGUCUUCCCUGGACAGCCUGGUACAGGAAAUCUUCCAAGGCAUCGGGAACAGCUGGGUGAGGCCGAAGUAACCGCAUAUUGCCAGUCGUCCCCUGUGAAUCGGUGACCACAUAUGAAGAUGCACCUCGACUCGUUGACGGCUUAGCCACUGCAUCAAAGUCUUCCCUGGACAGCCUGGUACAGGUAGGUGA
Gigantopelta aegis is the source of this 608-nucleotide long non-coding RNA. RefSeq lists it as uncharacterized. The transcript is spliced from 4 exons. Lineage: Eukaryota; Metazoa; Mollusca; Gastropoda; Neomphalida; Peltospiridae. The record is from RefSeq and is a predicted model, not a curated record.